This 400-nucleotide ribosomal RNA is filed under the name Chaetoceros brevis. RNAcentral's name for it is "partial Bacterial large subunit ribosomal RNA". It matches the Rfam family "Bacterial large subunit ribosomal RNA", at positions 2067 to 2477 of the family's 2925-position model. The record is from RNAcentral. Lineage: Eukaryota; Bacillariophyta; Thalassiosirophyceae; Chaetocerotales; Chaetocerotaceae.
AUACCCGCGGCUAGACGGAAAGCCCCCGUGAACCUUUACUAUAGCUUCGUAUUGGCUUUGGAUAAGUAAUGUGUAGGAUAGGUGGGAGACAUCGAAGCGGCGUCGCCAGGCGUUGUGGAGUCAUUGUUGAAAUACCACCCUUUACUUAUUUGAAUUCUAACGUCUAACGACGAACAGUGCGUGGUGGGUAGUUUGACUGGGGUGGUCGCCUCCAAAAGAGUAACGGAGGCUUCUAAAGGUUCCCUCAACACGGUUGGCAAUCGUGUGUAGAGUGUAAUGGCAUAAGGGAGCUUGACUGAGAGACCUACAAGUCGAUCAGGUACGAAAGUAGAGCAUAGUGAUCCGGUGGUUCCGCAUGGAAGGGCCAUCGCUCAAAGGAUAAAAGGUACUCCGGGGAUAA